Molecule: ribosomal RNA, 497 nt
Filed under: uncultured bacterium
Lineage: Bacteria
Description: partial 16S ribosomal RNA
Rfam family: Bacterial small subunit ribosomal RNA
Source: RNAcentral
GAUGAACGCUGGCGGCGUGCCUAAUACAUGCAAGUCGAGCGAACGGACGAGAAGCUUGCUCCUCUGAUGUUAGCGGCGGACGGGUGGGUAACACGUGGAUAACCUACCUAUAAGACUGGGAUAACUUCGGGAAACCGGAGCUAAUACCGGAUGAUAUUUUGAACCGCAUGGUUCCAAAGUGAAAGACGGUCUUGCUGUCACUUAUAGAUGGAUCCGCGCUGCAUUAGCUAGUUGGUAAGGUAACGGCUUACCAAGGCAACGAUGCAUAGCCGACCUGAGAGGGUGAUCGGCCACACUGGAACUGAGACACGGUCCAGACUCCGACGGGAGGCAGCAGUAGGGAAUCUUCCGCGAUGGGCGAAAGCCUGACGGAGCAACGCCGCGUGAGUGAUGAAGGUCUUCGGAUCGUAAAACUCUGUUAUUAGGGAAGAACAUAUGUGUAAGUAACUGUGCACAUCUUGACGGUACCUAAUCAGAAAGCCACGGCUAACUACGUG